GUAGGUGAACCUGCGGAAGGAUCAUUAGUGAAUUUGAGUGCUUCUUUUAUGAAGGCUCGACCUCCACUUCUAACACUGUGCAUUACAAUUUGGCUCGGUUUGACUUUCAUUAGUCGGGCCGGCCUUAUUAUCUUACAAACUUCAGUUAAAGAAUGUAACAAACCUAAAACAAAAAAAAACUUUCAACAACGGAUCUCUUGGCUCUCGCAUCGAUGAAGAACGCAGCAUCUGACUGACUCGGGCAUAAGUC
This 250-nucleotide unclassified non-coding RNA is filed under the name plant metagenome. RNAcentral describes it as "partial contains small subunit ribosomal RNA, internal transcribed spacer 1, and 5.8S ribosomal RNA". The stretch from base 178 to 250 matches the Rfam family "5.8S ribosomal RNA", at positions 1 to 53 of the family's 154-position model. The record is from RNAcentral.